RNAcentral lists this ribosomal RNA (416 nucleotides) under Conus coffeae. RNAcentral describes it as "partial 16S ribosomal RNA". It matches the Rfam family "Bacterial large subunit ribosomal RNA", at positions 1929 to 2557 of the family's 2925-position model. Lineage: Eukaryota; Metazoa; Mollusca; Gastropoda; Neogastropoda; Conidae. The record is from RNAcentral.
GGCCGCGGUACCCUGACCGUGCAAAGGUAGCAUAAUCAUUUGCCUUAUAAUUGAAGGCUGGAAUGAAUGGUUUGACAAGAAUACACCUGUCUCUUUAUAACUUUCUAGAACUUUAUCUUUGGAUGAAAAAGUCCAAAUAUAAUUAAAAGACAAGAAGACCCUAUCGAGCUUUAGAAGAAUUAAUGGAUUUGAUAACAAUCAAUAGAAAUAAAAGAGAGCCAUUAGUAUACUUUGGUUGGGGCAACCAAGGAGUAGACUUUGCCUCCUUUAAACUUUAAGUCAUACAUGUGUUGAUCCAAAAUUAUUGAUCAAAGGAAUUAGUUACCGUAGGGAUAACAGCAUUAUCUUUUUUGAGAGCCCAUAUCGAAAAAAAGGUUUGUGACCUCGAUGUUGGACCAGAAUAUCCUAAAGAUGCA